GGCUCUGCAGAGGCAGAAGAUGAACAGUAAGAUGCAAAGAUCUGGCAACCUUCAGAGCUGGGUCCCUGGGGCCUCUGCAGAACCACCCAGAAGCCCCAAAUUGUGACAUCACCAGUUCAACAGCCUUCCCCACUCCCAUCACUUCCUGAAACAGCCAGAGCGAGAAGAUGAUGCAUAUGUUCUCACAGAGCUACACAUGCCACAGUCAUCACUAGUUGCGAGAGUCUCCAGUGUUCAUUAAGCCUAUUUUGCUGGAAGUUUAGUCCCUGGAGGAUUAGUCCCUGCCCUUAAGGAGUGCCAAAGAAGACUUUGGAAUCUAAGUCACAUCUCCCCUGCUGCAAUUUUUUCCUCUUGAUAAUCAAGGAAUCUCACUGAUAAAACUCUCAAUGAGGAGCAGCUCUCCCCAUGAGCAAGUUCUUGCCUUCAUUGCCAGGGAGGCCCCAGCUAAGGUUAUACUGGGAAAGGAAUCUCUGGGGAGUACCUGGAAGAGGUCAGCUUCUCCUCAAAGGAAGCCUCUCCAGCUGGUGUACUGCAAAGCCUUCCAAGACCAAGUUCCCUCUUCCUGGCCUCUGGAACCAGCCUGUGUGCCAGCGCUGUGUCCCCAGUAACACACAUGAGUCUCUCCCUCAGAAGCCACAGAAGGAUGCAGAGAGAGACCAACCCAGGAUUGAUUCUCAGCACUUACUAAUUGUGUGGACAUAACUGCUCUGGACCUCAGCUUUGCUAUCUAUAAAAUGAGCACCCUUUUUAUAGAUAUGAACACUUUAAGAGAGUCAUAAAGAUUGAAGUUGAUUUGUGCUGCGCCUGGCACAGAGGUCUCCCUCAGUAAAUGGCAGCCACUGCUAUUGGGGUGCCCCAACACCCCUUGCCCCUGCCCACCAUUAGCUUUCACUUAGGCCCACACUGAGGGUGUGGCUGUUGUGUUGGGGGAAGGAAAAAAACCAUGCCUGGGUUGCAGGGCCCCCACCACCAACUGGUCUGCUUUUGUGGGAAGCAUUUUCUGAUGCCCUCGCCCUACCCGUGGGCUGGUUGACUAAGUGUCCAGCAUCAUGAGGAAAAGAGCAGGGUUCAGGGACAGCUUGGCUCAGCCCUGAAACUCAUCUGGGCCUAGGUCCAGAUGAGAGGCAAGCCUGGGAGGCCUUCCGUUGUACCCUUGCCUAUCCUGCAGCACCCUCUAGCCUGCAGGCCGCUCCUGGGUGGCAUAGCACCUUGGAUGUCAGGUGUGGGCCUUCCCAGGCACAUGGCAUGAGGGGGCACUUCUGUGGGUUGUUGGGGGCAGGAAGGGAUGUGUCUCCAGCUGGACUUGGGCUCUCGCAUUUUGGGGCCCAGCCAUGCCAGGACAGCACACAUGGGCGCUUAGUGCGAAUCUCAUGAUGGAGCAGAGGAGGAGCAAAGCAAAACCAGGGAGUCCCCAGGCCCCUGCUUCUGCCCCGCCCAGAGACAGUGGAGCAGGUGUCUCCAGCUUCUUAACCUCAACGCACAGUAAGAAAUACAUUUUACAGCAACCAAUAGACACAUACAUUUACAAAACGAUACUCUGUAAUGCACUGGGCUGGUUUUCUCUCCUCACGCCCCUCUAGUGAGUCACAGAUGAGUCCCGCUAUAAGUAAUGUAAGCAAGCCACAGUCCCUGGCUGGCAAGUGAGGGAGUGCCCCACCAGGACAGGGACACUGAGGCAGCAAUGAAAACAGCCAAUGCAACCACUCCUUCCUUUUUCCCCCGCUCAGACCCUCAUGGGUGAGGAGAGAAGCUGCCAAGCCGAGGACUCCAUGAGAAAGAUGCCGGAGCUGCCCCACUCCGCAGCAGGCGCUUCCCCUGGAUUCUCACUAUCCUCACGACAGCCAUGAGCACCAGCAAUUAUCUGUUCCAUUUUGGAGAGGAGGCAAUGCAGGUUCAGAGGCUUUAAAAAGAUUUACUAUGUGCUUGCUGUGUGCCGGCAACGUUUAUAUGGUUUAUAUAAUGCUGAAUGGUUUAUAUAAUGCUCAGCGCUUACCUAUUCCCCAGAGCAGCCCUAGGGAGCAGGUACCGCUGCAUCUGCAUUGGCAGAGGAGACCGCGGCUCCCCCAACCCCCGGCUCAAGGUCUCACAGCUAGUUGCAGGCCUGCAUCUCUCAACCCAGA
Molecule: long non-coding RNA, 2120 nt
Filed under: Homo sapiens (human)
Lineage: Eukaryota; Metazoa; Chordata; Mammalia; Primates; Hominidae
Description: HSALNT0189150
Source: RNAcentral